RNAcentral lists this ribosomal RNA (505 nucleotides) under uncultured Bacteroidota bacterium. Its description in RNAcentral is "bacterial SSU rRNA". It matches the Rfam family "Bacterial small subunit ribosomal RNA", at positions 9 to 510 of the family's 1533-position model. The record is from RNAcentral. Lineage: Bacteria; Pseudomonadati; Bacteroidota.
GAGUUUGAUCUUGGCUCAGGAUGAACGCUAGCGGCAGGCCUAAUACAUGCAAGACGAACGGUAAGUGGAGUAGCAAUACUUCGCCCAGAGUGUCGUAAGGGUGCGUAACGAGUAUGCAAUCUGCCCUCAACAGGAGGAUAGCUCCCCGAAAGGGGAAUUAACACUCCGUAAUAUUUCGGUGUGGCAUCACACAGUAAUUAAAACUCCGGUGGUUGAGGAUGAGCAUGCUUCUGAUUAGCUAGUUGGUAGUGUAACGGACUACCAAGGCGAUGAUCAGUAGGGGAACUGAGAGGUUGAUCCCCCACACUGGCACUGAGAUACGGGCCAGACUCCUACGGGAGGCAGCAGUAGGGAAUAUUGGUCAAUGGUUGCAAGACUGAACCAGCCAUGCCGCGUGCAGGAAGAAGGCCUUCUGGGUCGUAAACUGCUUUUGCCAGGGGAUAAAAUAGCUGUGCGCAGCAAAUUGAAAGUACCUGGUGAAUAAGCCACGGCUAACUACGUGCCA